AUGUUUCUGUGUGCAUGCAGAUGUGUGUGUGUUACUGACUUUCUCUGUUGCUUUUUCAGGAUUCAGCCAAACAUGAAGCUCCUUGUCUUUGCCUGUAUCAUGGCCCUCAUGGUUUCCAUGAUUAAAGCUGAUUUUUCAUCUGAAGAGAGGCCUAAUGGUUUUAGGAUCAGACACAAUAGACAUCGUCACCAUCAUCAAAGAUAUAUACAAGAGCCAUCAUAUCCACAAAAUGCUCCAAUUGACUAUCCAAAUAAUCCAAAUGGCUAUGGCUAUCCAAAUGGUCCUUACCCUCCUGCUCAGUAACCAUAAGACAUGGCAUCACAGGUAUGACUGGAAAGUCUGAUUUCUACUUGUGUUUCCUUCAUGUCUCAUGUUACAUCUUACUAUCCCUUUGUUUGGAAGAAUCAUCAAGAGGACAAUUAGGAACAGAAGAAGGACUCUAGUUUAGUAUAAUCUCUGUGUUUCUUCACACUUGCCUUCCCAGUUGAUGACUGGUAACAAGACUGCGAUUUCAAACUAUUCUGCUUUUUUCACUGCUAUUGUAAUGUCAUAGAAAUCCUUUUUACUGGCAAUAAAUCAUGUGCAUUCUCAUUUACA
Oryctolagus cuniculus (rabbit) is the source of this 597-nucleotide long non-coding RNA. The record is from Ensembl. Lineage: Eukaryota; Metazoa; Chordata; Mammalia; Lagomorpha; Leporidae.